AUGCAUGAGUUAACUAAGGAAAACAUUGAGCGUAUGAAUGCUAAAUAUAAACUUGCUGGAGAUAAGGGUAGAAAACAUGUUGUGUUUGCACCUGGAGAUCUUGUUUGGUUACAUUUGCGUAAGGAUAGAUUUCCUGAUUUGCGCAAAUCAAAGCUAAUGCCACGUGCUGAUGGUCCUUUUAAGGUGUUAGAGAAAAUAAAUGAUAAUGCAUAUAAACUUGAGCUGCCUGCAGAUUUUGGGGUUAGUCCCACUUUUAAUAUUGCAGAUUUGAAGCAUUAUUUGGGUGAGGAAGAUGAGCUUCCGUCGAGGACGACUUCAUUUCAAGAAGGGGAGGAUGAUGAGGACAUCAAUACAAUUAUUACACCCACAGGCCCUGCUGCUAUACAUACUGGACCAAUUACUAGAGCUCGCGCACGCCAAUUAAAUUACCAGGAAACAGACCCUCGUGGUCAGGUUGAUCGUGCUCCGGCGUGGUCGAUAACCUCUCGGAGUUGGUUUAGCGAUUGCUAA
This 510-nucleotide ribosomal RNA is filed under the name Triticum aestivum (bread wheat). Its description in RNAcentral is "partial small subunit ribosomal RNA". Lineage: Eukaryota; Viridiplantae; Streptophyta; Magnoliopsida; Poales; Poaceae. The record is from RNAcentral.